UGGGGAAUUUUCCGCAAUGGGCGCAAGCCUGACGGAGCAAUACCGCGUGAGGGAGGAAGGCUUUUGGGUUGUAAACCUCUUUUGUUAAGGAAGAAGAAGUGACGGUACUUAACGAAUCAGCAUCGGCUAACUCCGUGCCAGCAGCCGCGGUAAUACGGAGGAUGCAAGCGUUAAUCGGAAUUACUGGGCGUAAAGCGCACGCAGGCGGUUUGUUAAGCUAGAUGUGAAAGCCCCGGGCUCAACCUGGGAUGGUCAUUUAGAACUGGCAGACUAGAGUCUUGGAGAGGGGAGUGGAAUUCCAGGUGUAGCGGUGAAAUGCGUAGAUAUCUGGAGGAACAUCAGUGGCGAAGGCGACUCCCUGGCCAAAGACUGACGCUCAUGUGCGAAAGUGUGGGUAGCGAACAGGAUUAGAUACCCGCGUAGUCC
Molecule: ribosomal RNA, 426 nt
Filed under: uncultured prokaryote
Description: bacterial SSU rRNA
Rfam family: Bacterial small subunit ribosomal RNA
Source: RNAcentral